RNAcentral lists this ribosomal RNA (490 nucleotides) under uncultured bacterium. Its description in RNAcentral is "partial 16S ribosomal RNA". It matches the Rfam family "Bacterial small subunit ribosomal RNA", at positions 30 to 507 of the family's 1533-position model. The record is from RNAcentral.
AUUGAACGCUGGCGGCAGGCCUAACACAUGCAAGUCGAACGGUAACAGGAAGAAGCUUGCUUCUUUGCUGACGAGUGGCGGACGGGUGAGUAAUGUCUGGGAAACUGCCUGAUGGAGGGGGAUAACUACUGGAAACGGUAGCUAAUACCGCAUAACGUCGCAAGACCAAAGAGGGGGACCUUCGGGCCUCUUGCCAUCGGAUGUGCCCAGAUGGGAUUAGCUAGUAGGUGGGGUAACGGCUCACCUAGGCGACGAUCCCUAGCUGGUCUGAGAGGAUGACCAGCCACACUGGAACUGAGACACGGUCCAGACUCCUACGGGAGGCAGCAGUGGGGAAUAUAGCACAAUGGGCGCAAGCCUGAUGCAGCCAUGCCGCGUGUAUGAAGAAGGCCUUCGGGUUGUAAAGUACUUUCAGCGGGGAGGAAGGGAGUAAAGUUAAUACCAUUGCUCAUUGACGUUACCCGCAGAAGAAGCACCGGCUAACUCCGUG